Myotis davidii is the source of this 1236-nucleotide long non-coding RNA. RefSeq lists it as uncharacterized. The record is from RefSeq and is a predicted model, not a curated record. NCBI's taxonomy places the organism in Eukaryota, Metazoa, Chordata, Mammalia, Chiroptera, Vespertilionidae. The transcript is spliced from 3 exons.
GUAACUUGCUGUUUUUAAGGAAUAAAUCCUAUUUUUAAAUAACUCUUAAGGGUUGAAUAGAGACCAUUUCCUGUGUUUUAACUGAGCCAUAAGCACUCCAUCAACACUAACCAUCGCCUCUUCUCUGCCGGGGAGGAAGCAGGCUCAGCAUGACAGAGCACUAGCUGGCUAUCAUCCAGGCAGUGACAGGCGACGCUGGGACUAGAACCCAGGACACAAUUCAACCCACGGCUCUCCGCUCGCAGGAGGCGGCUGCAGGAGCCGUAUUUCUGCCAGGACGGCUGGGAGGUCCGGGGAAGUGCCAUUUCUCAGGGAGGAUGCCUUCGGUAAACUUCACAUGAUUCAAACCUUUGUAGUCCCAGAACCUCUUUCCCCCACAGGAAUGACUGUAAAGUAAGUGAUCAAAUGCGUUCGCACAGCUCGUAAAUCUACAACCGUCUCCCACAUUUUUUGCUUUUGAUGCUGCUUUGUAUGGUUGCAGCAUAAUCUCUGCCCUCCAGCACUCUCCUAGGUUAACAGCACCACCUGUUGAGGAGGUAGUUCAGUCUUCGUGGUGUUUCGUCGGGUCCAGUAUCCACACCAAAGAUACUCAUUUGGGGGUGGGGGAGGGGGUUUCAGCACUAGCAUCACUACCUUGUGAAUGCAUGGGUAAUGUUACUAUAUCUUAAAGGAGACAUAUGUAAUACUCUUUGUAAUACUUUAAGCAAUAAAAAAAAAUGACACACCAAAAAAAAAUGUUACUAUGUCUUUUUAAGGUGGCUUUUCAUGACAGUGAAUGGCAAAAUGACAGCUGCGUAGCCACAGAAAAACAGUUGCUAGAAUCCAGAGUGUGCUGAACAGCUUUGUGAUUCGCUCCAGAAUAAUGUCACAGUGUGGUCAUUUGUCUCCGGCUACAGUGGCGCCGCCUUGUGGCAGUGGCAUGAACACAGUUGAUAAUUCAUUCCAUCCCCGGGACUGCUUUGACAUUGCCCCAUCCCUAAUGAGUUAAAAUGUUGCCUUUUUUUUUUCUGACGUAUCUGUAAUUUCUGAUGGUUUUAUGUGACACUGUGUCAAAGUCGCAUAAUUCCUACUGCAUAGCAUGCAUACCCCAGAGAGGCCGGGACUUGGCGGUGCGGCUCAUGCCCCCGCUGAGACAGCAAAGCUGUCUUGCCCCUGCCCCCCCCUGUUUGGGGUCCCUCCUGUUUGGGGUCCCACAGGAGCCGGGCAAGGCAAUUCUGAGAGCGGUGGAGCCCGAGC